CAAGUUUUUUUUUCUUACAAUUUUCCGAAGACUUUGCAAAAAGUUCAGGGGGAUUGUUUAGGAGAAAAUUACCUACCCUAUGUGUUACUUUGACAGUUUAAUCUUUGGCAAUUCCGAUCGACUUUCUGAGGCCUUUAACAGCUGAAGAAGUUACCACUGGCUAGACUUUGACAAUGUUUAGCGAGUGAGUUGGUUGCCAAAGUCAAACAAAUUCAUUUCUUGAAAUGAAGAAACUCUUGAAUAAUUUUAUAUUGCUAUAAACAUGUCUGACAGAUUUUAUAAUAAAAAAUCA
Molecule: unclassified non-coding RNA, 292 nt
Filed under: soil metagenome
Description: partial internal transcribed spacer 1
Source: RNAcentral